Molecule: RNA transcript, 7086 nt
Organism: Musca domestica (house fly)
Lineage: Eukaryota; Metazoa; Arthropoda; Insecta; Diptera; Muscidae
Gene name: probable serine/threonine-protein kinase ndrD
Exons: 4
Source: RefSeq, a predicted model, not a curated record
UGUUGCUGCUAUUGUUAGUUGUGCUUGUGUUUGCAUUUGUUGUUGUUGUUGCUGCUGCUCAGUUUGAUUUGUGAUUUUCACAUUUCAUUAAUGGACGGGGCAACACAAAAACAACUUCGAUUUUUAGUUAAUUCUUGGCUCUCGCAUGGAGUAGAAGUGUUGUGUGGAUGGAUACUCGUCGUCUCGCGGUCUUCUUUUGGUUUCUGCUUCUGCUUCUUCUUCUUUGUGUUAUUGUGUGAUUAUCGCCGUCGUUGCCGUUUUACAACAAAAAGAAAAAAUAGUUUGGUUUGUGUGCUCAUUUGUUGUUUGCUCGCUCGUUCGCUCAUUGAAUAUCUUCGGUUGGUGUGUUGGCUGCAGACCAAGAAAGAAAAAUAAAGAGCAAAAGUAAAUUAAACAAAAAAAGACCAAGAAAAAUCAUGAUGAUGGUGAUCAUGAUUGGUAUGGCCGACCAUGCUACUCAGAGUAAAUAGAGAAGAGAUAGAGAGAUAGUGAGAGGGGAAAAUUGUAAGUGCCUGAGAUUGCUUGCUUAUUGUGGUAGUGGAGCUAAGCUCUGCUCUUUUUUUUUGUCAGCCGUUCUCCCCACCAAUACUUAUCGACAACGGUAACAGCAGCAGCAGCAACAACAACAACAAUACUCAUUUAUCCGUAAAUAAAAAUAGGAAGAAGAAGACUGCAGUGCAAUUGUAUCUAACUAAAAUUUUAAAUAAAACUCAGCAGAGUGGCUGACGAACGGAUUCGAUUUUUUUUUGUAUUGAGAAGUUUAAAAAAAUGCCGAUACGAAGAUGUUGGCAAAACAUAAGUGAAAUAAAAACAAAAGCAUGAGUAAUGGAAUGUAAAUGAAUUAUGGAAUGAGAAAUAAAACGUGAUUUAAUAAAAAAUAAAGAAACAAACAAAAACACGUGUGAUAAAAGAGCAACAAAAAAAGGAACUGAGAAAAAAUAUUUGUUUGUGUUUUAGAAAAAGUAGAAGAAAAACAAAGUAAACAAAAAAUAAAAUAAAAAACAGCAAAGCAAAGCCACUGUGAUAACAACAAUUUUCGCUGCAAGAAAUGCCGCCAAAAAAAGAUCCAAACGUCCACAAUAACAGCAACAACAACAGCGAAACAGUAACCCAAUCAACAGAGACCACCACAACAAGUGGCGCUGCCUCCAAUACAACAACAAAUAAUUCUGCCGUUGCUGCUGCCACCGCCAACUCCCCCAAUAUGUCGGAAAAUACGGCAGCCGAGCAGCGUACCGUUGCCUUCCAUGCCAAUGCCAAACUAUGCCGUUUGGUACGCAAAUGUCCCUGGAUGUACGAUCGCAACCAUCAAAAUUAUGCCAAGAAACAUAUUUUGGACAAGUCAUGGUGUAAAAUUGCCCGGGAAUGUAAUGAUUCGGUUGCCUCCUGCAAGGAGCGAUGGCGCAACAUUCGUGCCGCCUUUGCCCGUUCCAUAAAUAUUUACAAAACUCACAGUGGUCCGAAUCGCAUCAAACCCUACUAUCUACACAAGGAGCUUUCGUUUCUGGUCAAACCAAUGAUGGAGGGUCGCGACAAGUCGGAAGAGACCCAUGACAUUUCGGAGAACAGUGUGCAAAAGGAAGAAUUCACCGAGGGCGAAGAGGAAGAAGAUGAUGUCGACUUUGAAGAUGAUGAUCAACAGCCAGAUGCGGAUUACGACGAUGGCCUGCAGGACAAUAGCAGCAUUGAUAUAAAAUCUGCCUUUGAGGCCCUAAAUCCCGACAUAACCAUACAAACUGAGGGUAAAUUGCACAAGACGCUGAAGGACUAUCAGAACAGUCAAAAACGUGAAAACCAACACCACCACCUCAAUGGCAAUGAUUAUGACAAUAAUUCGGGAAUAUAUGAAAGUCAUGGUGACUUCUCGACCAGUGAUGCUGAACAUGAGUUCCAUGAUGGUCGAUUUGAUGAUACAAUGUCUCAGACAACUGAAACUGAUCGCCGACUGAUGUCGAAUCAUCAUGGCAAUCCAUUGAAACGGCCCAUGCAUUUGGAAACGGAGACGUAUGAAAUGAAGAGAUUAAAAUUCAAUUCAAUACCCUUGGGGACAAGUGAGGCAGAUUUGCGUUUCCUCGAGGCUUUGUUGCCCGACAUGGCUUUGAUGAACACCCGGCAGAAAAUUAUAUUCAAAAGGAAAAUUUAUCAAACCCUGGAGGAGGUGUUUGAAAAUGUCAAUGAUUUUCCAAAUCUCAACAGUGAUAUGCAGCAGCAUCAGCAGCAGAAUGCUAGUGGUAUAUCCAUCGCCAGGCAAGGUGGUGGUGGCAUGGGAGGAGGAUCACUAACAACGACCAUUAUGAAUAAUGGCGGAGGGCACAAUUUAAAUAAUUCCAACUCCAGCACCACCACUACCACCAUGCAGGGCGGGUCCCAGGUCAAGCAAACGGUGUUGACAGUCAACUCCUCGACGGCUCGAAAUCUGAUCAACAACAUUGCCAAUUUGAAUGAGGCCGAGUUGCAAAAGGUCAACGGUUUUCUGCAGUCCUCAUUGCGUAGCGUCAACAUAAGUGUGAAUUCCAAUCACAACAACAAUGCCAACAACAGCAACAAUAACACUCUCAACCACAAUACAACAAAUAUUACCACCACACGUCUGAGUAAUGGCACCUCAGCCACCAUAAUACCGGCCAGUAGUGCAGCCGCCCGUCUCCUGCAGUCCACACCGAAAAUCACCAUAACUAAGGUGACAUGUCCACCACCGGCAUCGCUGCGUAACAUGACCAUGGUGAAUAAGGCAACAUCACCCAAUACCGGUACCGUUUCAACGACCAUACAUCAUAACCCGGCGGCACCCAUUAUGACAUCGAAUGUUCACUCAACCACAUCUUCCAGUACACCAGCCGGGGGCGCCGCCCAGCUGAAUGGCGGCCAACAACAAAAUGCAUCGACCACAGUCACCAGUAUCACUACCACCAACGGCACCACCACACCAUCAACCUCCUCGGGAUCAUGGACUCAAAUAAUGCCAAUUGCCAUUAAAGAUGAAAUCGAAGAUGUGGACAUCGAUUGACCCAAAUUGCAGCAGGUCAAGGCAGGGGGGAAGGCCGGCGAUAUGCCAGAAGAUGAUGGAUUAAGUUUAGAAACGUCACCACCACCACGUAUAUUUGUAAAAAAGAUAGGUUAUCUUAAGUGAUGUGUUAGGAAAGGGUUUUUCUGUGGAUUUUAAAUUUUAAAAAAUAGUUUUAGUUAAAAUUUCCAAUUUCCAGAACCAUAACCAAGUGACCUUAUAUUGGAGAGAUUUAGUGAGCAUAGCUUUUUACGAAAGUCCUUUUAGAGCCUAAUAUGUAUAGCUGUAAUAUAGAAGCCUUCGAAGGUUUUUUUGGCCAGAAAAAUAUAUAAAGUUCCUCAAAACAUGGAGAACCUGAUAAAAAUCUUCUCUGUGGGUGAAGGCCAUUUUAGAGGUCUUCAGGAUACAGGAUGUCUUUUUUGAGGUUUUCUAUAUUCAAGAUAAUUUCUAGAAAUCAUGAUAAGGCCUCUAAAAAUUACGGACUCUUAUAAAGAUAUCCAGCAUAUAAAUAAAGGCUUCCAUUACACAGAAAAAACUCAUAGGGGCUUCUAAACAAACAAUACCGUUCAGAGUUCUCCUAGGCAUAAAGUACAUCGAAGAGGCUUUCUGGAGAUUGAAUAACAUCCCCAAAUAUGCUAGAUUUAGAAAAUGUUCUAGACACCUUCUAUAUUCUGAAAACUUUCUAAAUGCUUUCUUUGACCUUUGCCGAUGACCCUCUAGAACAUCUAAACGCUUUCCAUUCUUAGAAUACUUUCCAGAUGACUUUUAGUUAAAGAAACCUUUAAGACAAAGAAAGGAAUGCUCUCCUCGCAUAAACUUUCUAUACAUGUAGAAGUCUUCUAGAUGUACUUGUUAGACAUAAAAUACCUGGUAUAUGUUUAGAAGACAUUCUAUUCCCAGAAGAUCUGUGGUGGUCUCCUGUACCCUAAAAACUUUUUAGAGGCAUUUUGUUCAGAGGAAGUCCUUUAGAGAUCUUCUAGACAUUCUGUGCACCGAACAUAUAUUAGAGGAAUUCUAGAUAAAGAAGACUUUGCAGAAGCUUUCUAAAGGAAGUAGACCAUCUACAUGUAUUGUCGAGUUAGAGGACAUUUUAGACAUAUUUUUCCCAGGAAACCUUUUAUGGACCUUCUAUGUCUAGAAGACCUUCUUAAGGCCUUCCAUGCUAAGAAGACUCUCUAGAAUUUCUAAAAGCCUCAUAUUUCUAAAAUAACUUCUCAAGAACUUAGAGUUCCUCUACUCGGGAUCUUUUGUACCAUGAAUAGCCUUGAACCCCAAAAUACAUAACACAUUCUUUCCACACUUCGAUAAAGUUGUAGAAGUCUUCCAGAGAAAACCAUCUACAUGCAUUGUAGAUUUAGAAAAUCUUUUAGACAUAUUUUUUCCCCAAUGAGACUUUCUAUGGGCCUUCUAUGCCUAGAAGACCUUUUUAAAGCCUUCCAUACCAAGAAAACCAUCUAGAACUUCUAAAAGCCUUCUAUUUCUAGAAUAACUUCUCAAGAACUCGAAGAAGCUCUUCUUAGGAUCUUUUGGAUCAUGAAUAGCAUUGAAAUUUAAAUACAUAACACAUUUUUUCCACACUUUGAAGAACUUGUAUAAGACACCAUCUAAAUGCUUUCUCUGUCCAAAAUAUUCUCCAGAGGCAUACUAUACACCAAAGAAAUUCUACAGACCUUCUCUGUCGAGAAGACCUUCAAGAGGCCUUUUAAAUAGAAGAGCUCUUCUGGGCAUUUCGACACUUCUGGGAGCAUUCAGGACACAGAAUUCUCUGCAGAGGCUGACUAUUCAUAAAAUAACUCGAAGAGACUUCUUUAUAUAGAAAAUCUUCUAGAUGUAGACCAGGCAUGGAAGAUCUUUUAACUGUGUGUAGACCAGGCAUGGAAGACCUUUUAACUGUGAUCUAUAUUUAGAAGGCCUUUUAAAGGUAUUCUUUACACAGAGAACCUUCUAGAGACCUUCUAUUCCCAGAAGAGCUUCUAGGGGUCUCCUAUACUGUAAAUAACUUCUAGAGGUCUUCUAUAACAAGAAGACCUUUAAGAGGCCUUUUGGUUAGAGGAGAACUUCUAGAGAUCUUUUGGAAAAUAAAGAGCUGCUUAGGCAUUCUCGACACAGAAUAAUUUUGCUAGAUUACCGUGUUGAAUUCUUCUAAAUUCCGAAAAACUUCCACAGUUAUUCCAGACAUAGUAAACCUUUCAGACGCGUCCUGUAUUUAGGAAACCGUUUAGAGUUCUUUCUUUAUAUGAAGAAGACCUUCUGGAUGCCUUCUCUGCCAAUAAUACAUUUUAGAAGCCUUUUGAGUGGAGGAUAUCUUCAAAAAUCUGCUUCACAAUUAAGACCUUCAAGGGGUUUUCUGGACAGAGAAACUUCUUUUAGAGACUUUCUGUGGAAUGGAAGAUCUUGCAGAAUUCUUCUAAACCUUGAAAAUCUUUUAAGGGUUCUCUAGGCAUAGAAGGCUUUCAAAGGGUCUUGUCUGACCUUCUAGGGGUUUCCUAUAUACCAAAAACUUCUAGAGAACUUGUUUGCCGAAAAAAACCUUCCUGAGUCUUGUUAGUCAAGGGAGUUCUUCUUCAGCCAUUUUGAUCACAGAAUAUCUCUUGGAGAGUUUCUACAAAUUGAAGACCUCUUCUGGGGUUCCUCUAGUUAUAGAUGCUUUCCAAAGAUUUUCUUUGCACAGAUGAUCUUUUCAAAUGAUGGAAUUCUUUUAUAUCGUGAGAGGAUCUUAGAAAGAUCUUCUAUGCAAUGAAGAAUUUCUGUGGAAUGGAAGAUCUUGUAUAAUCCUUCUAAACCUUAAAAACCUUCUAGGGGUUCUCUAGCCAUAGGAGGCCAGAAAAACUUCUAGAGGAGCUCUGGCCAAAAAAACUUCUAGAGGUUUGAGGUGUUCUUCUACAAAUCUGCUGGAUUAUGAAGACCUUGUAGGGGCAUUUUGGGCACAGAAUACCUCUUAGAAAUUUUCUAUUAAAGACCCCUUCUGGGGUCUAUAGUUGGCUUUCCAAAGAUGUUUCUUUGGUUUUGGCUUUCCAAGGUCACAAGAAUAGUUUAUUAACAUAUCCCCUUCUUCAAAUUUAUAUAAUUAGUCAGUUCAAUAGUUAUUUACAAAGAGAUAUCCCCCUUCUUUCCUUGGGAAUUUCCUCAAAGUAAAAAUCUCAAAAAAAAAAAGAGGUCUUCGAAUAUCCAUUUUCUCCGGUUAAUAUUUUUUCAAUGGGAAAAAUAAACCAAUUCCCUAAUGCUGACAAAAAUACCAGACAGAAUGUCAUUUAGAUGAAAAAAAUUCCUUUUUGUAACAACUUGGUCUUAGUUUUGUCUUUCCAAGGUCACAAUAAUAGUUUAUUAACAUAUCCCCUUCUUCAAAUUUAUAUAAUCACUCAAUUCAAUAUUUAUUUACAAAGAUUUAUCACUCUUCUUUCCUUGGGAAUUCCCUCAAAGUAUAAAUCUCAAAUGGUGAAUAUUUCCGGUGAAAAUUUUUUCAAUGGGAAAAAUAAAACAAUUCCCCAAUGCUGACAAUAAUACCAGGCAGUCGGAGACAUAACACCCUCUAAUCAUCCCUUCGCCUUUACCUUUAGUUUAAGUCUUUUUUUAUUUGGCUUUUAAGUUUUAAUUAGGGUUUAAGUUUUAAUUUUAACUUAAUUUUCAUUUUAUUUUUCUCUUUUUUUAUUAAACUGCAUGAAAGGUUUACAGACUUGCAGCAAUUUACAAACAACUCCAACAACUUUACAAAAGUACUUGUUACCCCAAAUAUUUAUACGAUAACCCAUAAAACUCCCUAUUAUUCUUUGCUUCUAAUCUGUAAUAUCCCCUUUUUCUAAAAAAGGGUUUCAUUUCAUUUAAAAUUAGUUUGCCUUUUUUAAUGUAAAUCUUUACUUUUAUAUUCAUUGUGUUUUUAAAUUUUAUAUUUAUCUCUCUUUUAAUUUUAAUUUAGUUUUUUUUUUAAUUUGUUUAUGUUUUAUUUAAACGAUUUCUUUUUGUAAGAUUUAAGUUUUACUAUUCUUAGAGUUUACAAUAUUUAAAUUGUAGCUCUAGAUCUUUUUGUCCAACCAAUCCAAAUACAACAUUGUUUUGUUAAGUACUUAAUUUGUAAGUAAAUUUAU